GAUGAAGAACGUAGCGAAACGCGAUAAGUAGUGUGAAUUGCAGAAUUCAGUGAAUCAUCGAAUCUUUGAACGCACAUUGCGCCUUCUAGUAUUCUGGGAGGCAUGCCUGUUUGAGCGUCAUUAAACCUCUCUCAAGUAUGAUUACUUGGAUGUGAAGGAAGAGUACCUUAAACUUAAGGAGUGUUCUCCUUUGAAAUUGAUUAGCAGAUGGUAAUGUUAUUAAAUCCCUGAUGUUGUAAGAAAUAACAGUGGUUUUGUAGACUAUUAUCUAGCUUUAAAUUAUAAUUUUUAUUAUGGUUGACCUCAAAUCAGGUAAGGAUACCCGCUGAACUUAAGCAUAUCAAUAAGCGGAGGA
This 355-nucleotide unclassified non-coding RNA is filed under the name soil metagenome. RNAcentral describes it as "partial contains 5.8S ribosomal RNA, internal transcribed spacer 2, and large subunit ribosomal RNA". The stretch from base 1 to 120 matches the Rfam family "5.8S ribosomal RNA", at positions 35 to 154 of the family's 154-position model. The record is from RNAcentral.